This is a long non-coding RNA of Hyla sarda, 564 nucleotides long. RefSeq lists it as uncharacterized. NCBI's taxonomy places the organism in Eukaryota, Metazoa, Chordata, Amphibia, Anura, Hylidae. The record is from RefSeq and is a predicted model, not a curated record. The transcript is spliced from 5 exons.
AAAGGACUGUAGUCUCCACACUAGCUUUCUUUCCCUUGAUUCCUGGACACUAAAGCAAGCACAAGUCCUGUACAAGUUCAGUCCAGUCCAGCUAGGCCAACAUCUACAAGUCUGUAGCCACAUCUAAUCUGGUAGCAGCUUGAUAGGCUCAGUUUCCAGCCCUUGUCUCUUUCGCCCUGAACAGAUAUGGUCAUUAUCAGCAGAGAAGCAUUAAAGGCAUCCCAAAAUAUUGUGUGUAAAGGGAAUUGCUGAGAGCUGUUAGUCAAUGUAACUCAGGAAAGACUAUGGCACUCCUGUAAUGCUGGGACUUUUUGAAAUAGUUGGAGAUAGAUAACAUAUUUCGAUGCCCGUGGCUAGCUCUUCUGGAUCAUUUUUUGAAUGUCUGCUUUUCCUUUGAUUGUUAUGUGAGAUAUGUUUAUUCCGACUGGUCGAUUGAUCCCCAGAGCCAACCUGCUCCAACUCAUCAGACAAGACAACAGAUAUAACAUUAUCAAUGUUCUUCUUCCUUUUUAAAAAGGAUGGAUCUGAUCAUUUUGUUAUUGUUUAUACAAGUACAUACCAUAU